CCUACGGGUGGCAGCAGUGAGGAAUAUUGGUCAAUGGACGCAAGUCUGAACCAGCCAUGCCGCGUGCAGGAAGACGGCUCUAUGAGUUGUAAACUGCUUUUGUACGAGGGUAAACGCAGAUACGCGUAUCUGUCUGCAAGUAUCGUACGAAUAAGGCUCGGCUAACUCCGUGCCAGCAGCCGCGGUAAUACGGAGGAUUCAAGCGUUAUACGGAUUUAUUGGGUUUAAAGGGUGCGUAGGCGGUCGGAUAAGUUAGAGGUGAAAUACCGAGGCUCAACUUCGGAAUUGCCUCUGAUACUGUUCGGCUAGAGAGUAGUUGCGGUAGGCGGAAUGUAUGGUGUAGCGGUGAAAUGCUUAGAGAUCAUACAGAACACCGAUUGCGAAGGCAGCUUACCAAGCUACUUCUGACGUUGAGGCACGAAAGCGUGGGGAGCAAACAGGAUUAGAUACCCCAGUAGUC
This 460-nucleotide ribosomal RNA is filed under the name uncultured bacterium. Its description in RNAcentral is "partial 16S ribosomal RNA". It matches the Rfam family "Bacterial small subunit ribosomal RNA", at positions 338 to 795 of the family's 1533-position model. The record is from RNAcentral.